Molecule: ribosomal RNA, 292 nt
Filed under: uncultured bacterium
Lineage: Bacteria
Description: partial 16S ribosomal RNA
Rfam family: Bacterial small subunit ribosomal RNA
Source: RNAcentral
GUGCCAGCCGCCGCGGUAAGACGGAGGGGGCAAGCGUUGUCCGGAAUCACUGGGCGUAAAGCGCACGUAGGUGGCUCGGUGCGUCGGCGCUGAAACCUCUGGGCUCAACCCAGAGACGCGUGCCGAUACGACUGGGCUCGAGGCAGGGAGAGGGUAGCGGAAUUCCGGGUGUAGUGGUGAAAUGCGUAGAGAUCCGGAGGAACGCCUGAAGCGAAAGCGGCUACCUGGCCCUGUCCUGACACUGAGGUGCGAAAGCGUGGGGAGCGAACCGGAUUAGAUACCCUCGUAGUCC